GACGAACGCUGGCGGCGUGCCUAAUACAUGCAAGUUGAGCGCUGAAGGUUGGUACUUGUACCAACUGGAUGAGCAGCGAACGGGUGAGUAACGCGUGGGGAAUCUGCCUUUGAGCGGGGGACAACAUUUGGAAACGAAUGCUAAUACCGCAUAAAAACUUUAAACACAAGUUUUAAGUUUGAAAGAUGCAAUUGCAUCACUCAAAGAUGAUCCCGCGUUGUAUUAGCUAGUUGGUGAGGUAAAGGCUCACCAAGGCGAUGAUACAUAGCCGACCUGAGAGGGUGAUCGGCCACAUUGGGACUGAGACACGGCCCAAACUCCUACGGGAGGCAGCAGUAGGGAAUCUUCGGCAAUGGACGAAAGUCUGACCGAGCAACGCCGCGUGAGUGAAGAAGGUUUUCGGAUCGUAAAACUCUGUUGGUAGAGAAGAGCGUUGGUGAGAGUGGAGAGCUCAUCAAGUGACGGUAACUACCCAGAAAGGGACGGCUAACUACGUG
RNAcentral lists this ribosomal RNA (497 nucleotides) under uncultured bacterium. RNAcentral describes it as "partial 16S ribosomal RNA". It matches the Rfam family "Bacterial small subunit ribosomal RNA", at positions 28 to 507 of the family's 1533-position model. The record is from RNAcentral.